UACAGAGGGUGCAAGCGUUGUUCGGAAUUACUGGGCGUAAAGCGCGUGUAGGCUGCGAUGUAAGUCGGACGUGAAAGCCCUUGGCUUAACCAAGGAAGUGCAUCCGAUACUGUGUCGCUUGAGUACCGGAGGGGAUGGCGGAAUUCCCGGUGUAGAGGUGAAAUGCGUAGAUAUCUGGAGGAAUACCGGUGGCGAAGGCGGCAUCCUGGACCGGCAUUGACGCUGAGGAGCGAAAGCCAGGGGAGCAAACGGG
This 253-nucleotide ribosomal RNA is filed under the name uncultured bacterium. RNAcentral's name for it is "partial 16S ribosomal RNA". It matches the Rfam family "Bacterial small subunit ribosomal RNA", at positions 524 to 776 of the family's 1533-position model. The record is from RNAcentral.